AGCGAACGCUGGCGGCGUGCUUAACACAUGCAAGUCGAGCGAAGGUGUUUCAAGGGUAACCUUGAGAUACACUUAGCGGCGGACGGGUGAGUAAUACGUGGAUAACUUACCUCUAGGCCUGGGAGUAACCCCGGGAAACGUGGGGCUAAUACCUGAUAAGACCACAUUGUCUAACGGACGAAAAGGGGUAAAAGGUGGCUGUGCAAAACAGCUAUCGCCAAAAGAUAGGUUCACGUCCCAUCAGGCAGUUGGUGAGGUAAUGGCUCACCAAACCAAAGACGGGUAGCCGGCCUUGGCGGGUGAACGGCCACACGGGGACUGAGACACGGCCCCGACUCCUACGGGAGGCAGCAGUGGGGAAUAUUGGGCAAUGGGCGCAAGCCUGACCCAGCGACGUCGCGUU
This 403-nucleotide ribosomal RNA is filed under the name uncultured bacterium. RNAcentral's name for it is "bacterial SSU rRNA". It matches the Rfam family "Bacterial small subunit ribosomal RNA", at positions 29 to 403 of the family's 1533-position model. The record is from RNAcentral.